This 48-nucleotide transfer RNA is filed under the name Mammuthus sp. RNAcentral describes it as "partial tRNA-Arg". The record is from RNAcentral. Lineage: Eukaryota; Metazoa; Chordata; Mammalia; Proboscidea; Elephantidae.
UGGUACUUAGUUUAAACAAAACAAAUGAUUUCGACUCAUUAAACUAUG